GACUCGGUGGCGGAUGGCCUCCCGCGCUCGAUAAUCCAUCGAUGACUUCAUCUGGCGGGAGGCGCCUGUUCGAACCAGGCCCGAGUCA
This is a non-coding RNA of Mycena latifolia, 88 nucleotides long. NCBI's taxonomy places the organism in Eukaryota, Fungi, Basidiomycota, Agaricomycetes, Agaricales, Mycenaceae. The record is from the annotation of a GenBank genome assembly.